Molecule: long non-coding RNA, 3165 nt
Filed under: Medicago truncatula (barrel medic)
Lineage: Eukaryota; Viridiplantae; Streptophyta; Magnoliopsida; Fabales; Fabaceae
Description: lncRNA gene37562
Source: RNAcentral
UUGCUUCCAUUCUAAAUUGAUAAACUUAAUACAAUGUAGAAAAAACCGUCAUUAGGAUCCUAUAAUAAAUAAUGUAUCAUAGGCUACAUUGACAAACAAAAUCCAGAAUCAUAGAGAACUUUAACAAAAUUUAACCAGAAGCAUUCAUCAUAAGCAGUUCAUAAAAAAAAUCCAAAACUGAGAAUAACAGAACCUAAGCCUCAGUAACAGGGUACUCAAACACAACAUCUUUGCCUGAAAGUUUCCUGUAAACUGCAGAAAAGGUCUCAAGCUUGUAUUCAGUAUUGUUUCUCUCCUUUGGGUCCAAAAACACCUGUAUACACAGAACCACAAGAAUUCAAUUAACACUAUUUCUUAGUCUUUUUAAUCGAAAUAUAUUUUUUAUUUAAGAUUUGUGUAACUUAUGGAAGUUGUUUGGCUAUAACUAUAGUUUACCUUCAUUAUCUUGGAUCCAUCAAUUCUGUAUCUAGUACGUUUGCCAACAAUCUCAGCAGGUAACACGACAUCCUCGAGCAUUGCCUCGUGGACAGCAGUGAGUGUACGGCUGCGUGGACGCUGAGCAGCAGAGCCUUUCUUUGGAGGCCUGACGAUUCUCCUGGUGGCAAUGAGGAUCACAUCCUACAAGUUACAAGUUGAAGGUUCAUAAGAAUACAAUAAAAUGAAGCAUCGCAAACAAAACCGAGAACAAAAUUUUCAUGGCUAUUGUUUGGUUUCAUCAAAUUAUUCAGAGUAUGUUUGGUUUGGCUUCUACUCACGACCACCACAAGAUUACAAGGCAUUAAUUAGAACAUGAAAAGAGAAGCUACAAAGUGGAGUUUCCAUGUAAUAGUGAGUUUUUGCUGUGAUUUUGCAAACUGUGACGCCAAACCAAACACACGCACACUUCAGCUGAAUAGAACUACUCCAAGUAAAUAUAAAUUAAAGCAAUUUAAAAACCAAGCGGGUUGCAAAAUAGAUGAAAAAGACUAGUAGUUCUUCCAAAUAAGGACAAAGAAAUUGGAACCAAGAACUGUCGGUUUACAGAAUCGUGACAACAGAUGUUACAGUUAGAAACAAUAACUCGCAGUCUAAUGAAUCGAUAAGAACAAAGGUAUACAAGACUUUGCUUACCUUGCCACUGAAUUUCUUCUCAAGCUCCCUAACGAGCCUGACAUGAAUUUUGCGGAAACCCUUCCUCAAUCUGUAGGGGACAUGGAUAACCACAGCCUUGCGGUUGCCAGAAACAUCAACUUGGCUGUAGGUAACAGAAAAUGAUAGACAUGACUCAUGAGACUCGGAGAAAACAGAAGUAUUUUCAAACAAACCAUAAAGAACGCAUCCUUACACUGCAGAAUUGAUGUAUAAAUCUUUCAGCUCACUUUUGAGCUCAUGGUUUGUGUUUUCCAGAUCAAACAAAGCCUGCAACAACAAAUUGAAAACAAAUAAUGAUUUAGAAUUUGUCAUAAUUGAGACUAAUCAGCAAUCACAGAAAAAACAAUAAUCCGUGGUAAUCAAUAUAUAACCUGUCCAACUGACUCCUCAAAUUCAGUAGGCUCGGCACCCUUGUCUUUGCUGAUUUUCUUCCUUGAAGUAAACAUCUUCACAAGUCACAACUGUAGGCAAAGAAGAAAAUAAAUUUAGUAAAAGCUUAAACAACAAUAAAAGCUGAAGAAGCAAAUUCAUCAUCAGAAAUACCACACUGAUAUAAAAAUUGUGAAGAAACAAGAUCCAUAAACCGCAAAUUGAGAACAAAACUCACGAGUACCAAACAAAAAAACUGAAGUCGUUUAAUCACAUAAUAAUCAAGUAAAAAUCUGAUAGAUUUUGUUCCCCGACGUCCAAUUACAACAUCAUAAUUGCAGUAGUGGAUAGCGAGGGGAACGCAAUUAUAGGCUUCAAUUAAACAUUGCAAACACAUGAAAAGUGCAGGCAUAAAUUAAAUCAAAAUCAGAAGCCACAAAAUAUGGAAAAGAAAUCAACAAAAACGAAGAUUUAAAAUCCAAACAUAUAAACAACAGAAACAUUAACAAGAAAAAUGGGAAAAUAACUGGUUAACUCAGUCCCUUAGAUGUUCAUAAAAUCUGCGAUCAUACCCGCAAAUCAUUACAGGUCUGUUAAAGACUCAUCACUGUUAACUAGCACAGCCCAAUUUUCUCAAAUGAUUCAAAAUCGAUAAAAGCAUCAAUCAAAAACGAUUUUUCAUAAAAAUUUACAAUUUAGUUGUUCUUGCGUUCUCCCAAAACCAAAAAAAGGGAUUGUGGAAGUGAAUUGAAAGAACAACACAUAUUACUAUUGCUUCAAGGGAACGAGUCUGAAUGGGAAUUGAAUUAAUCCGCAUCGACCAGAUAGUGAAGCCUACUAUUACACCGUAGAUUCCAAGUUCAAUGAUACAGUAAUCGCAGUAGACUAAAUGUAAUUGGAACAAAUGCAAGCAAUAAGCUAUGAAUUAACGAUGCUUUAACAAAUGAAAAAACAAACAGAAUAAGAACACCUUAUAGUUAACACAUAAUGUGAUAUAACAAUCUCAACUAAGAACCUAUUUGGAUUGACUUAUUUGAGCUUUUCUACUGGCAUUAUUUCAUGAGACAGUUUGGGGGAACUUAUGACAAUUUUCACAAUCUUUUCAGCUUAUUUUCAUAACUUCUCCAAUAUAGCAUAUACAAAAAGAGAUUAACUUUGGGCAUGUUUGGAUAAACAGUUGGCUUAUUUGCAGCUUCUAGCACAAGUGCUUAUCAAUAUAAGCAUUUGUGUGUAAGCUUGCAUAAGCUAUUUUUUCAUAAGCGCUUAUAAUGAUAAGCACUUUUUCUAUAAGCUGCAAAUAAGUAAUUUAUCCAAACAGCCCUAAAAUUCAUGUCAGAUCAUAAAUCAACAAAACCAACUAAUUAACGAUAACAAUCAAUACCAAAAAAUUGAUAAAAUUGCAACAACAAAAACAACCCAUUUUCUUAAUUUCAAAUGCAAGUUCUAUAAAACCCUAACAAAAGCAAAAAAAACUCAAAACCAUCAAAUCAUUAUACAAAAAAAAGGUUUAGAGAGAAGCUAAAAAUGAGAACUUUGAAUUCAAUUAACAUGGAUUUUACAUGAGAAAUCAGAUAGAGCAAUAAAUUGUAAAAGGGUAUCUGAAUUGUACCUUAGCUGAAGAAGAUGCAGAUGCAAACUCCGGCUGCUGAGUGCUUGCUGUGUGAC